This is a long non-coding RNA of Vespa mandarinia (Asian giant hornet), 1041 nucleotides long. NCBI's taxonomy places the organism in Eukaryota, Metazoa, Arthropoda, Insecta, Hymenoptera, Vespidae. The record is from RefSeq and is a predicted model, not a curated record.
ACACUCGUGAAAAAUGUCAUUUAAUUUAUUAAACGUAACGAUUGAAAUAAUAAAUAUAUAUUUUACUCACUCGUUAAUCCUUUGACUGCUAUGGGCGCAUAUAUGCGUCCGACGAAGGCUUCGAUUGUUUACUAUUGUCCCAUGUGUAUGUUCGGAGUCAAAGGGUUAACAGGUGCAAUUUAUUUGUCAGUAUUAAUAAUUUCAAAUAUUGCGAAAUAAAGCGAAUAGAAAAAAAAACUCGAAGGAAGAAGAAGAAGAAGAAGAAGAAGAAGAAGAAGAAGAAGAAAAUAAAAAAGAUAGGGAAUAAAAAGGGCUUCCAGAAAUGAAAAGAAAACUAUCGAAUUCUUGGACAUAUCGAUAUAUAUUAAAAAUAACAAGAGAAUAUCGCAAAUGGAAUAGUCUCACUGGGAAAAUGGAAUUUUGAGUAGCUCACUCAUCCGUGUAACGAGUUUAAUCGGCAUGGACAAAGCGGGAAAAGCAUCGAAGCUGGGCAUCGAGUUUGUACGCCUCUACGAGCGUCGGAGGUGCGGUGACGUUCAGCCUGAGGGCCAAAGGAAUUUCGGCGCUAACGAGACCGGAACAAGGCAGUCUGAUCCUGAAGACUUGCAGGACGACGGGGACCUCGCCUUUGGCCGACACGUUCACCCUCGGAGACAGUAAAGCCAUCAUGCCCGAAGCUGCACCCGCCACUCUCACUACAUCGUAAUCCAACUCCAUAGAAUAUGAGAGUGGCAAAGGAAGAAACGAGAAAGAAGAAGAUGAAGAGAAAAGGGUGUCCCGUUUUCCAAGCUCUUCCCAUGGGACAAGUGGAGAGAAAUCUGGAAUGGGUAUCGAGGGCACAGAAGAUGGGUUAUGUGUACCUCUCGAUUCUGAGAGUUCAGUGGUUAGGUUUCUCUCGUGCUAAGUAGAAAAUCGUGUCUGGCAUAUGAACAAGCGGCCGUCGUUGUUUGGUCGUUGCAGAAGACAGUUAAUGUUGCUCUGGGUGUGCCAGUGCACACCCAUAAACGCAUUACUCCUCUCGUGUUUCAUCGAAAGACCUUG